Molecule: unclassified non-coding RNA, 22 nt
Filed under: Strongyloides ratti
Lineage: Eukaryota; Metazoa; Nematoda; Chromadorea; Rhabditida; Strongyloididae
Description: SL1-like trans-spliced leader sequence variant SL1g
Source: RNAcentral
GGUUUAAAUAACCCAUAUAGAG